GAUGAACGCUGGCGGCGUGCUUAACACAUGCAAGUCGAGCGGAAAGGCGCUGCUUUUGUGCGGUGCUCGAUGGCGGAAGGGGUGAGUGACACGUGAGUAUCCCGCCCCUGACUUUGGGAUAACUUUAGGAAACUGGGGCUAAUAUCGGUUAGGAACUCCUGAUGCAUGGUGGGGGUUGGAAAGAUUCGGCGGUUGGGGAUGGGCUAGCGGCUUAUGAGCCUGAGGGUGGAGUAGUGGUUGACGAGGGCUUUGGCGGGUAGGCGGCCUGAGAGGGUGACCGGGCCCCUGGGGAAUGAGAUACGGCCCAGAGUAGUACGGGAGGCAGCAGGGGGGACUAUUGCACAAUGGGGCCAAGUCGGAUGAAGCAUGGCUGCGUUCGGGAUGAUGGCCUUCUGGUUGUAAACAACUUUGUGAGGUAACGAAGCGUGAGUGACGGUACCGGAUAAAGAAGCACCGGCUAACUACGUG
Molecule: ribosomal RNA, 468 nt
Filed under: uncultured bacterium
Lineage: Bacteria
Description: partial 16S ribosomal RNA
Rfam family: Bacterial small subunit ribosomal RNA
Source: RNAcentral